AGGUAGAUGCACCCUGGUUUUCCCUCGCCGCGCUUAAAAAGAGCGGUGGGGGUCUUUUUU
RNAcentral lists this small RNA (60 nucleotides) under Allocoleopsis franciscana PCC 7113. Its description in RNAcentral is "Microcoleus sp. PCC 7113 Nitrogen stress-induced RNA 1". It matches the Rfam family "Nitrogen stress-induced RNA 1". The record is from Rfam by way of RNAcentral. Lineage: Bacteria; Bacillati; Cyanobacteriota; Cyanophyceae; Coleofasciculales; Coleofasciculaceae.